GGGGGAUGUUGCGCAAUGGGGGAAACCCUGACGCAGCGACGCCGCGUGAAGGAUGAAGGUUUUCGGAUCGUAAACUUCUUUGACCGGGGACGAAGAAAUGACGGUACCCGGGGAACAAGCCACGGCUAACUACGUGCCAGCAGCCGCGGUAAUACGUAGGUGGCGAGCGUUGUCCGGAUUUACUGGGUGUAAAGGGCGCGUAGGCGGGGCGGCAAGUCCGAUGUGAAAUCCCGCGGCUCAACCGGGGAACCGCAUCGGAAACUGUCGUCCUUGAGUAUCGGAGGGGAAAGCGGAAUUCCUAGUGUAGCGGUGAAAUGCGUAGAUAUUAGGAGGAACACCGGUGGCGAAGGCGGCUUUCUGGCCGAAAACUGACGCUGAGGCGCGAAAGCGUGGGGAGCAAAC
Molecule: ribosomal RNA, 402 nt
Filed under: uncultured bacterium
Lineage: Bacteria
Description: bacterial SSU rRNA
Rfam family: Bacterial small subunit ribosomal RNA
Source: RNAcentral